ACGGAUCUCUUAAAGACUGUUCUCAGUUCGGACUGCAGUCUGCAACUCGACUGCACGAAGCUGGAAUCGCUAGUAAUCGCGGAUCAGCACGCCGCGGUGAAUACGUUCCCGGGCCUUGUACACACCGCCCGUCACACCAUGGAAGUCUGCAAUGCCCGAAGCCGGUGGCCUAACCACUUAUGUGGAAGGAGCCGUCUAAGGCAGGGCAGAUGACUGGGGUGAAGUCGUAACAAGGUAGC
This 239-nucleotide ribosomal RNA is filed under the name uncultured bacterium. RNAcentral's name for it is "partial 16S ribosomal RNA". It matches the Rfam family "Bacterial small subunit ribosomal RNA", at positions 1267 to 1500 of the family's 1533-position model. The record is from RNAcentral.